AAGCCUAUGAUGAUUGUAUUUUUAGUUGGAAUUACCGACUGAUGUCUUUGAUGAUAAAUUACUGGCUUUCUGAAGGCUUCAG
Rosa rugosa (rugosa rose) is the source of this 82-nucleotide small nucleolar RNA. The record is from RefSeq and is a predicted model, not a curated record. NCBI's taxonomy places the organism in Eukaryota, Viridiplantae, Streptophyta, Magnoliopsida, Rosales, Rosaceae.